UUAAUUCAUACAUCUUAUUUAAUUUCUGUUGUUUAUUUAUUUAUUUUUAUUUGAUGUUAAGAUUAAGGGGGAUUAGCUCCUUGUUCUGUUUUUAUAAUUUGUCUUGUGGUUUAAUUUAGUUUUGUGGAUUUUAUGGUGAUUUUCUAUUUGAUUAUGUUAAAAUUUUAUUUGUUCUUUUUUUAAUUUUUUAUUAUUUAAGUUAUUUAUUGAAAUGUUUUCUUUACUCUGGUUUGUAUAGUAAUUAUUGUGUAAUUAGUAAAUUUUUUAUUGGUUGUUUUGUGAGAUGGUAGGUGUUAAUUGCUUUUGAGGAAUUCGGCAAAGUUUUAUGUCCGCCUGUUUAACAAAAACAUCUUUUCUUGUUAGUUUUUGAAGUAUGGCCUGCCCACUGACUUAGAGUUGAAGGGCCGCGGUAUUUUGACCGUGCAAAGGUAGCAUAAUCAUUAGUUCUUUAAUUGUGAUCUGGUAUGAAUGGCUUGACGAGACAUAAGCUGUCUUAGAAGUAUUGAUUUAUUGAAUUUGGUUUUUGAGUUAAAAUUCUUAAAUGUUUUUAUGGGACGAGAAGACCCUAUAGAGUUUGACAAUUUUCCUAUUUAUUCGUUGUUUGUUUUAUUUAUAUUGAGUGGGAGUGAGUUGUUUUGUUGGGGUGAUGGGAGGAAUAUUGUUUAACUCCUCUUUGUUUUUAUAUAUUUGUGUAUAUAUUUUUGAUCCAUUUAUUUUGAUUAUAAGAUUAAAUUACC
This 737-nucleotide ribosomal RNA is filed under the name Nasutitermes sp. 17 NCCPB-2018. RNAcentral describes it as "partial large subunit ribosomal RNA". The stretch from base 296 to 504 matches the Rfam family "Bacterial large subunit ribosomal RNA", at positions 1697 to 2031 of the family's 2925-position model. The record is from RNAcentral. Lineage: Eukaryota; Metazoa; Arthropoda; Insecta; Blattodea; Termitidae.